RNAcentral lists this ribosomal RNA (802 nucleotides) under uncultured Bacillota bacterium. RNAcentral describes it as "bacterial SSU rRNA". It matches the Rfam family "Bacterial small subunit ribosomal RNA", at positions 77 to 859 of the family's 1533-position model. The record is from RNAcentral. Lineage: Bacteria; Bacillati; Bacillota.
CAGCAAUGCCAGGGAGCGGCGAACGGGUGAGUAACACGUGGAUGAUCUACCUCCAAGACUGAGAUAACCCAUCGAAAGGUGGGCUAAUAUUGGAUGUGACUACGUUCCGUAUUCGGGACGCAGUAAAAGGUGGGGACCGCAAGGCCUGCCACUUGGAGAUGAGUCUGCGGCUGAUUAGCUAGUUGGCGGGGUAAUGGCCCACCAAGGCAACGAUCAGUAGCCGGCCUGAGAGGGUGUACGGCCACACUGGAACUGAGACACGGUCCAGACUCCUACGGGAGGCAGCAGUAGGGAAUUUUCCGCAAUGGGCGCAAGCCUGACGGAGCAACGCCGCGUGAGGGACGAAGGUCUUCGGAUUGUAAACCUCUUUGGAGCGAGACGAACGAGCUUCCGGUGAACAGCCGGAGGCAGUGACUGUAUCGCUAGAACAAGUCACGGCUAACUCUGUGCCAGCAGCCGCGGUAAUACAGAGGUGACAAACGUUGUCCGGAAUUAUUGGGCGUAAAGGGCGCGUAGGUGGUUGAGUAAGUCAGGUGUGAAAGCUCUGGGCUUAACCCAGGAAUUGCAUCUGAUACUGCUCGGCUUGAGUACGGUAGAGGAAGGUGGAAUUCCCAGUGUAGCGGUGAAAUGCGUAGAUAUUGGGAGGAACACCGGUGGCGAAGGCGGCCUUCUGGACCGAAACUGACACUGAAGCGCGAAAGCUAGGGGAGCAAACGGGAUUAGAUACCCCGGUAGUCCUAGCCUUAAACGAUGAGUACUAGGUGUAGGAGGUAUUGACCCCUUCUGUGCCGCAGCUAACGCA